UGCAAGUCGAACGAACCUUCGGGUUAGUGGCGGACGGGUGAGUAACGCGUGAGAAUCUGCCCUCAGGAGGGGGAUAACGGUUGGAAACGACCGCUAAUACCCCAUAUGCCGCGAGGUGAAAUGAAUUUCGCCUGAGGAUGAGCUCGCGUCUGAUUAGCUAGUUGGUGGGGUAAGAGCCUACCAAGGCUUCGAUCAGUAGCUGGUCUGAGAGGAUGAUCAGCCACACUGGGACUGAGACACGGCCCAGACUCCUACGGGAGGCAGCAGUGGGGAAUUUUCCGCAAUGGGCGAAAGCCUGACGGAGCAACGCCGCGUGAGGGAUGAAGGCCUCUGGGCUGUAAACCUCUUUUAUCAAGGAAGAAGAUCUGACGGUACUUGAUGAAUAAGCCACGGCUAAUUCCGUGCCAGCAGCCGCGGUAAUACGGGAGUGGCAAGCGUUAUCCGGAAUUAUUGGGCGUAAAGCGUCCGCAGGCGGUCUUACAAGUCUGUCGUUAAAGCGUGGAGCUUAACUCCAUUUCGGCGAUGGAAACUGUAAGACUAGAGUGUGGUAGGGGCAGAGGGAAUUCCCGGUGUAGCGGUGAAAUGCGUAGAUAUCGGGAAGAACACCAGUGGCGAAGGCGCUCUGCUGGGCCAUAACUGACGCUCAUGGACGAAAGCUAGGGGAGCGAAAGGGAUUAGAUACCCCUGUAGUCCUAGCCGUAAACGAUGAACACUAGGUGUCGGGGGAAUCGACCCCCUCGGUGUCGUAGCCAACGCGUUAAGUGUUCCGCCUGGGGAGUACGCACGCAAGUGUGAAACUCAAAGGCAAUUGACGGGGGCCCGCACAAGCGGUGGAGUAUGUGGUUUAAUUCGAUGCAACGCGAAGAACCUUACCAGGGUUUGACAUCCUGCGAAUCCCUUGGAAACUUGGGAGUGCCUUCGGGAGCGCAGUGACAGGUGGUGCAUGGCUGUCGUCAGCUCGUGUCGUGAGAUGUUGGGUUAAGUCCCGCAACGAGCGCAACCCACGUCUUUAGUUGCCAGCAUUUAGUUGGGCACUCUAGAGAGACCGCCGGUGAUAAACCGGAGGAAGGUGUGGAUGACGUCAAGUCAUCAUGCCCCUUACAUCCUGGGCUACACACGUACUACAAUGCUACGGACAAAGGGCAGCAAACUCGCGAGAGCUAGCCAAUCCCAUAAACCGUGGCUCAGUUCAGAUCGUAGGCUGCAACUCGCCUACGUGAAGGAGGAAUCGCUAGUAAUCGCAGGUCAGCAUACUGCGGUGAAUACGUUCCCCGGGCCUUGUACACACCCGCCCGUCACACCCAUGGAAAGUUGGCCACGCCCGAAGUCGUUACUCCAACCCUUUGUGGAGGAGGAUGCCGAAAGGUGGGGCUGAUGACUGGGGUGAAGUCGUAACAAAGGUAGCCGUACCGGAAGGUGCGGCUGGAUCACCUCCU
This 1436-nucleotide ribosomal RNA is filed under the name Synechococcus sp. MI0607C. RNAcentral's name for it is "16S ribosomal RNA". It matches the Rfam family "Bacterial small subunit ribosomal RNA". Lineage: Bacteria; Bacillati; Cyanobacteriota; Cyanophyceae; Synechococcales; Synechococcaceae. The record is from RNAcentral.